AGGUGCGAAAGCAGGUCAUAGUGAUCCGGUGGUUCUGAAUGGAAGGGCCAUCGCUCAACGGAUAAAAGGUACUCCGGGGAUAACAGGCUGAUACCGCCCAAGAGUUCAUAUCGACGGCGGUGUUUGGCACCUCGAUGUCGGCUCAUCACAUCCUGGGGCUGAAGUAGGUCCCAAGGGUAUGGCUGUUCGCCAUUUAAAGUGGUACGCGAGCUGGGUUUAGAACGUCGUGAGACAGUUCGGUCCCUAUCUGCCGUGGGCGCUGGAGAACUGAGGGGGGCUGCUCCUAGUACGAGAGGACCGGAGUGGACGCAUCACUGGUGUUCGGGUUGUCAUGCCAAUGGCACUGCCCGGUAGCUAAAUGCGGAAGAGAUAAGUGCUGAAAGCAUCUAAGCACGAAACUUGCCCCGAGAUGAGUUCUCCCUGAGACUUAGAGUCUCCUGAAGGAACGUUGAAGACGACGACGUUGAUAGGCCGGGUGUGUAAGCGCAGCGAUGCGUUGAGCUAACCGGUACUAAUGAACCGUGAGGCUUAACCUU
RNAcentral lists this ribosomal RNA (536 nucleotides) under Escherichia coli. RNAcentral's name for it is "partial 23S ribosomal RNA". It matches the Rfam family "Bacterial large subunit ribosomal RNA", at positions 2395 to 2925 of the family's 2925-position model. Lineage: Bacteria; Pseudomonadati; Pseudomonadota; Gammaproteobacteria; Enterobacterales; Enterobacteriaceae. The record is from RNAcentral.